This 253-nucleotide ribosomal RNA is filed under the name uncultured bacterium. RNAcentral describes it as "partial 16S ribosomal RNA". It matches the Rfam family "Bacterial small subunit ribosomal RNA", at positions 524 to 776 of the family's 1533-position model. The record is from RNAcentral.
UACGAAGGGGGCUAGCGUUGCUCGGAAUUACUGGGCGUAAAGCGCACGUAGGCGGCUCUUUAAGUCGGGGGUGAAAUCCUGGAGCUCAACUCCAGAACUGCCUUCGAUACUGGAGAGCUCGAGUCCGGGAGAGGUGAGUGGAACUGCGAGUGUAGAGGUGAAAUUCGUAGAUAUCCGGAGGAACACCGGUGGCGAAGGCGGCUUCCUGGACCGAUACUGACGCUGAGGCGCGAAAGCUAGGGGAGCAAACGGG